Molecule: long non-coding RNA, 236 nt
Organism: Symsagittifera roscoffensis
Lineage: Eukaryota; Metazoa; Xenacoelomorpha; Acoela; Convolutidae
Exons: 3
Source: RefSeq, a predicted model, not a curated record
ACUAAUGUCACUCAAGGACUGGUCACUUUGAGUCUGGAGCUCUUCAACACAUCUGCCAACUGCUCAAUAUGCACAUUUGACCUCACAAUGAACAUGUCAACUAUUGAUGCUGAUACAUGGAGGGACCAAUUUGUUGAUGAGAUGGUUGAAGCCGGUUCAAACUGGCUCUGGCUGAUUGCAGUGAUGGCAGGGGUCACACUUUUUGUGACCAUAGGUCUGACCGUGGUCUACUGCUG